RNAcentral lists this unclassified non-coding RNA (434 nucleotides) under Hevea brasiliensis (rubber tree). The record is from RNAcentral. Lineage: Eukaryota; Viridiplantae; Streptophyta; Magnoliopsida; Malpighiales; Euphorbiaceae.
CUCCGCUCUAAUUCAUCAGUCAUAGAAAUAAUAGUUUUAGCAAUUGAAUGGACUGACUGGUUCACUGAUUUUCUAAUAAAACAAAAAGAAAAAUUAGGGCUUGCCUUUAGAAGCUCUUGGCAAUCAUUAACAACAGUGCCAAUGUAGGAAAAAUCAACUUCAUGCCUUCAGAUUGCCUGAACCAUUUGCAUCAAAUCAGUUUCUAAAUCAAUAGCAGAAAUGCCCUUAUUUUAAUCCAACUUAGAGCUUCUCUAAAGCUCAAAGCUUCAACCUGAAGAGAGCACAUAUCACCAAUAAUAGGCUUCAAUUUUGCAGCAACCAACUGACCCACUUCAUUUCGAAUAAUCCAGCCAAGACCAAUUUACGGUUAGAAGCACUAAAUGGUCGGUACCAAAUCUUGGAAGACUGAAGAGUAAUUUUGUUGCUGCAUUUAG